This 253-nucleotide ribosomal RNA is filed under the name uncultured bacterium. Its description in RNAcentral is "partial 16S ribosomal RNA". It matches the Rfam family "Bacterial small subunit ribosomal RNA", at positions 524 to 776 of the family's 1533-position model. The record is from RNAcentral.
UACGUAGGGUGCAAGCGUUAAUCGGAAUUACUGGGCGUAAAGAGCUCGUAGGCGGUUUGUCGCGUCUGCUGUGAAAACCCGAGGCUCAACCUCGGGCCUGCAGUGGGUACGGGCAGACUAGAGUGCAGUAGGGGAGACUGGAAUUCCUGGUGUAGCGGUGAAAUGCGCAGAUAUCAGGAGGAACACCGAUGGCGAAGGCAGGUCUCUGGGCUGUAACUGACGCUGAGGAGCGAAAGCAUGGGGAGCGAACAGG